RNAcentral lists this long non-coding RNA (1718 nucleotides) under Mytilus galloprovincialis (Mediterranean mussel). Lineage: Eukaryota; Metazoa; Mollusca; Bivalvia; Mytilida; Mytilidae. The record is from RNAcentral.
UUAGAGUAAACUUUUUCAAUGAGUGCCAAAAUGAAAUGCAAUGCAAAGUUUAUUUUUUAUUUUUAAAACAUUAUUUUGAACAUUUUAGGUGUGAGAACAAUUUAUCUCACCAUGAUAAAGUAGGCCAAAUAUUGCCAAAAGUAUGGUCACUGACCAUAUACUAGUAGUUGAUUUAUUUCAACUUGAAAUUAAUUUUAUAUUUAUAGUGUUAUGUGAUGAUAUGGUUCUUGUUGACAUGUUGUUAGAGAUUUUCUUGUUAAAGAAGUUUUAUGUAUUCUUUAGUUGCAGGUAGAAAGAAUUAAAAUUUAAUUCUAUUAUUUUAAUUUUACCACUAAUUUCAUACACAUUCUUAUGAAAAUACUAGUACUGAUACACAUUGAUGGACACUUUCUUGUAAUGAAGAAAAAUGUUAGAAUUUUACCGUAUAUUUUGGUGAAGAUCAGUUUAAGAGUCAAAUUGGCUCUAAAAACUAAAGUAUUUCAAAAUUAAUUCAAUUUUCAGAACUUCAAAUAUCCAAAUGAAAAUGUAUUUAUACCCCCACUUUUGAAAAAAGGGGGGUAUACUGUUUUACCUCUGUCUGUCCUUCCAUCCAUCCAUCCAUCCAUCCGUCAGUCCAUCAGUCAGUCCGUCCGUCUGUCUCAUGAAUAUUUUUCGUCACAUUUUUCUGAGGAACUACAAUACAAGGAUUUCUGAAAUUUAGUUUCAGGGUUUAUAUAAGUCAGCUAUACCAUGUGAUGUGUUUUCAGAUUCAUCACUUGACAACUUCCUGUUUACCGAACACUUGUAUGAUUUUACACAUGAUAGCCAAGUUGAAAAUUUCGUCACAAUUUUCUCAGGAACUACAAUACAAGGAUUUCUGAAAUUUGGUUUCAGGGUUAAAUAUAAGUCAGCUAUACUGUGUGAUGCGUUUUCAGAUUCAUCACUUGACAACUUCUUGUUUACUGAACACUUGUAUGAUUUUACACAUGAUAGCCAAUUUGAAAAUUUUCUUCACAAUUUUCUCAGGAACUACAAUACAAGGAUUUAUGAAAUUUGGUUUCAGGGUUUAUAUAAGUCAGCUAUACCGUGUGAUGCGUUUUCAGAUUUAUCACUUGACAACUUCCUGUUUACCGAACACUUGUAUGAUUUUAAAAAUGAUAGCCAAGCUGAAAAUUUCGUCACAAUUUCUCAGGAACUACAAUACAAGGAUUUCUGAAAUUUGGUUUCAGGUUUUAUAUAAGUCAGCUAUACCGUGUGAUGCGUUUUCAGAUUCAUCACUUGACAACUUCCUGUUUACCGAACACUUGUAUGAUUUUACACAUGAUAGCCAAGUUGAAAAUUUUCGUCACAAUUUUCUCAGGAACUACGAUACAAGGAUUUCUGAAAUUUGGUUUCAGGGUUAAAUAUAAGUCAGCUAUACUGUAUGAUGCGUUUUCAGAUUCAUCACUUGACAACUUCCUGUUUACCGAACACUUGCAUAUUUUUACACUAUUAAUAUUAUCCACUUGCAGCAGGGGUAUCAUCAGUGAGCAGUAGCUUGCAGUUUAACACUGCAUUUAAAUAAUGUCAUUUUACAAAUUUUCCUUGUCAGUGAAUAUACAUGGGUAUAAAAUAUAUUUCUUCACUUAUAACUGAUUAUUGUUGAUAUAAAUACAAUGUGUUCAUUGAAUUCCUUUUUAGUGGGUUGAUAUUCUCUAGUCUAUUGUAAUUUUUAUUAAUCAAGAAAUAAAUUAAUGCUC